Molecule: ribosomal RNA, 450 nt
Filed under: uncultured Glomus
Lineage: Eukaryota; Fungi; Glomeromycota; Glomeromycetes; Glomerales; Glomeraceae
Description: SSU rRNA
Rfam family: Eukaryotic small subunit ribosomal RNA
Source: RNAcentral
AGCAGCCGCGGUAAUUCCAGCUCCAAUAGCGUAUAUUAAAGUUGUUGCAGUUAAAAAGCUCGUAGUUGAAUUUCGGGAUCAAUUUGUUGGUCGUGCCUCGGUACGUACUGGCAUUAUUGGUUUCUACCUUCUGAAGAACCUUGAUGUCAUUAAUUUGGUGUCUUGGGGAAUCAGGACUGUUACUUUGAAAAAUUAGAGUGUUUAAAGCAGGCAUACGCUUGAAUACAUUAGCAUGGAAUAAUGAAAUAGGACGUUUGAUUCUAUUUUGUUGGUUUCUAGGAUCGACGUAAUGAUUAAUAGGGAUAGUUGGGGGCAUUAGUAUUCAAUUGUCAGAGGUGAAAUUCUUGGAUUUAUUGAAGACUAACUACUGCGAAAGCAUUUGCCAAGGAUGUUUUCAUUAAUCAAGAACGAAAAUUAGGGGAUCGAAGACGAUCAGAUACCGUCGUAGUC